This 483-nucleotide ribosomal RNA is filed under the name uncultured bacterium. RNAcentral's name for it is "partial 16S ribosomal RNA". It matches the Rfam family "Bacterial small subunit ribosomal RNA", at positions 30 to 507 of the family's 1533-position model. The record is from RNAcentral.
AUUGAACGCUGGCGGCAGGCCUAACACAUGCAAGUCGAGCGGAUGAAGGGAGCUUGCUCCUGGAUUCAGCGGCGGACGGGUGAGUAAUGCCUAGGAAUCUGCCUGGUAGUGGGGGAUAACGUCCGGAAACGGGCGCUAAUACCGCAUACGUCCUGAGGGAGAAAGUGGGGGAUCUUCGGACCUCACGCUAUCAGAUGAGCCUAGGUCGGAUUAGCUAGUUGGUGGGGUAAAGGCCUACCAAGGCACGAUCCGUAACUGGUCUGAGAGGAUGAUCAGUCACACUGGAACUGAGACACGGUCCAGACUCCUACGGGAGGCAGCAGUGGGGAAUAUUGGACAAUGGGCGAAAGCCUGAUCCAGCCAUGCCGCGUGUGUGAAGAAGGUCUUCGGAUUGUAAAGCACUUUAAGUUGGGAGGAAGGGCAGUAAGUUAAUACCUUGCUGUUUUGACGUUACCAACAGAAUAAGCACCGGCUAACUUCGUG